UACAGUGCAGGAAACUGAAGCUCAGAACAAAAAAGCACCUCGUCCAGUGUGGCCAGAGUUGGAAUCAGAAUUUAAGUCUUCUUUCUCUGAAGCAUAGACUCUUUCUUCUCAACCAUAUUGUCUCUUCUGGGAAGACAUCUCUUCUCCGGACCUGAAAACCAGAGACACGAGCUACCCCUAAUAACUUGCAAGCCUUCUCUAAUAAUUUGCCUCUGUAACUGCAAUCCAUUCAUCCACUGCACAGAUGUUUGUUCCCUCCAGAAUUGUUCAGAUCUACUUGCUCCUGCAGGACCUCAGUUUCUUGUUCAGUGAAGUGUCUGGCCACUGCCCUUGUUACCUUAUCCCCAACACACUGCCUAACUUGGCCUCCACCAGGAUGAAGCCUGGACUAGAACCACAGUUGCAUUGGUGCCCAGAUCUGAAAAAUGUAAUUCCCCCCUCUUUUGGAUUCAGGUUGAGCAUCAUGCUACGGGACAUGGAACUUGGCUUCCCCACCAGCUAUUCUGGGUGAUGCAACCCGAAGUUCAGGGCCGUGAUGCCUUGUGAGCAAAUGUUGAACUAUGAGAGACUACAGAUAGGGGGUGAGGAAAUGACAGAUAUGAAUAAACUUCCCAUCCCCAUUUCUACCUUCCCUCCACCUAGCAUUCUCGUAACUGAGACACUGUUUCCUCGUGAAGCUGUGGCAGCUCUAUGCUAUGCCACCUUGUAUUUGCUUUCCUGCCUCACUUCCAUUCCCCCGUCACUCUCAGUCUCAUAGGAUUGCACUCCCAGUAAAGCAUGAGAAUGGGAACUUUGUCUCAGCCCCUGUUUUCUAGAGAAUCUGAGUCAAGAUCAUGGAAUUCUCCAGGCAAGAAUGCUAGAGUGGGUAACUAUUCCCUUCUCCAGAGGAUCUACCCAAACAAGGGAUUGAACCUGGGUCUAUGCAUUGCAGGCUGAGUCUUCACCAUCUGAGCCAGCAGGGAAGCCCAUAUAAAGAACUACUAGAAGACAAUACGGAAAAGACCAACAGUGCUAUAGAAAAGUAUGCAGAUAUGAAGAAGUCGUUCACAAAAAUGUGACUUUAAGAGACACUGCUGCUGCUGCUAAGUCGCUUCAGUCGUGUCCGACUCUGCGCGACCCCAUAGGCAGCAGCCCACCAGGCUCCACUGUCCCCGGGACUCUCCAGGCAAGAACACUGGAGUGGGCUGCCAUUUCCUUCUCCAAUGCGUGAAAGUGAAAAGUGAAAGUGAAGUCGCUCAGUCGUGUCCGACUAGUAGCGACCCUAUGGACUGCAGCCUGCCAGACUCCUCCGUCCAUGAGAUUCUCCAGGCAAGAGUACUGGAGUGGCUUGCCAUUGCCUUCUCCAUUAAAAGACACUAGAAAUAAUUUUUUUUAAUGAAAAGAUUAACCUCACUCAUAAUAAGAUAUAUACAAGGUAAAGUUAAAAUGAUAUAUAUUUUUCACCUGUCAGAUUGAACAGUCUGAUUACAUACUGUGUCAGAAAGGUGUGAAGAAAAUAGGCACUCUCCUUGCUGGUGGAAAUAUAUAUCUAUAUAAUCUCUAAGGAGGAUAGUUUAGCAAUAUCUUUAAAAUUAAAAAAAAAUUGCAUACUUUUUAACCCAACAAUUUAAUAAGCUCAUUGUUGUUUUCUUUAUCAAUAGACUGGAAAUAAUUAAAAACUGCUUCCCUCCAUUAGAAACUGGUUCAGUAAAUUCUGGUACAUCCAUAAAAGAACAACUAUACAACUAUUAAAAAAUGAGAGAGUAUUUUUCUUUUAAAGGUACUGAUAUGUAAAGGUUUUCAGUUUAUCUCAAGUAAAAAUAUCUCUAGAAGGAAACUGGUACCAGUGGCUGCCUCUAAGGUGGACAAUCUUAGCUUUACACCUUUUGUGCCUUUUGAAUUUUGUGUCACAUGGGUCUAUUUUUUCCUUAUCAACUUUAUUGAGGAAUUAGUUAUGUACAGUUACACUACAUCCAUUUAAAAGGCACAAUUCUAUGAGGUUUGAGAAUUUUAUACACUUGUGAAAACAUCACCAUGAUCACGAUACAGAGCAUUUACAUCGUCCCCAGAGAUUCCCCAUGACACUUUGCUGUCCAUCUCUCUCUCUUCCCUGGUCCUUCACAACCACUGAACUGCUUUCUGUUGUUAGAGGUUAGUGUGUAUUUGAUAUAAACUGAAUCAUACAAUAUGUACUCCUGUAUCCGGCUUUUGCACGUUGCAUAAUGAUUCAAGAUUCAUUCAUGUUGUUAUGUGUAUUGAUAGCUCAUUACUGAAUAGUGCCUUCCCUGGUGGCUCAGAUGGUAAAGUGUCUGCCACAAUGUGGGAGACCUGGGUUCCAUCCCUGUGCGGGGAAGAUCCUCUGGAGAAGGAAAUGGCAACCUACUCUAGUACUCUUGCCUGGAAAAUCCCAUAGAUGGAAGAGCCUGGUAAGCUACAGUCCGUGGGGUCGCAAAGAGUCGGACAUGACUGAGUGACUUCACCUUGCCUUACCUUACUGAAUAGUAUUCUAUCUUACAGUUGUACCACAUUUUGUUUAUGUAGCCAACUGUUGGGUAACAUUUGGGUUGUCUACAGAUCUGGACUGUGUGAAUAAUGCUGUCAUGAACCUUUAUGUACAAGUCUUUGAAUGCAGUUAUGUCUUCAUUUUUUUUUUUUUUUUUUAGUAAAUACCUUGAAGUGGAAAGGCAGGACUGUAUGGUAUAUGUAUGUUAACUUCUUAAGAAAUGCCAGUUUUGCAAAAUGAUUGAAUCAUUUUCCAUUCCUACCUGCAGUGUAUGAGAGUUUCCGUUAUUCUACAUCCUUGCUAAUACUUGGUGUCGAUCUUUUAAAUGUUAUAAGGAGUAUAUGAUGGUGAAUUACCU
This is a long non-coding RNA of Capra hircus (goat), 2840 nucleotides long. The record is from Ensembl. Lineage: Eukaryota; Metazoa; Chordata; Mammalia; Artiodactyla; Bovidae.